RNAcentral lists this unclassified non-coding RNA (346 nucleotides) under soil metagenome. RNAcentral's name for it is "partial contains 5.8S ribosomal RNA, internal transcribed spacer 2, and large subunit ribosomal RNA". The stretch from base 1 to 119 matches the Rfam family "5.8S ribosomal RNA", at positions 35 to 154 of the family's 154-position model. The record is from RNAcentral.
GAUGAAGAACGUAGCGAAAUGCGAUACGUAAUGUGAAUUGCAAAUUCAGUGAAUCAUCGAGUCUUUGAACGCACAUUGCGCCCCCUGGUAUUCCGGGGGGCAUGCCUGUCCGAGCGUCAUUGCUGCCCUCAAGCACGGUUUGUGUGUUGGGCCCCGUCCUCCGAUCCCGGGGGACGGGCCCGAAAGGCAGCGGCGGCACCGCGUCCGGUCCUCGAGCGUAUGGGGCUUUGUCACCCGCUCUGUAGGCCCGGCCGGCGCUUGCCGAUCAACCCAAAUUUUUUAUCCAGGUUGACCUCGGAUCAGGUAGGGAUACCCGCUGAACUUAAGCAUAUCAAUAAGCGGAGGA